AGAGAAUAAGGUGAAAUAAGCAAGUACAUGUAAACAAAUAAAGCAUCCAGGAGCUUGAAGUCAAGUGAGAACAAAAUAAUAGUAAUUGCUGACAAUAUGAAACUACAAAGUGAGAUAAGUCUCUUGGCUCUUACUCUCAUUUUUUUCCUCCUCAUCAAAUUUACAACGGAAUCAAUUGACAUUCUGGAAAUUAAUCUCCAAGUUGGAGAUGUGAGAAAUCUUGGGCCAAUCUUCCCCUUCCUCUUGUUGACAUCUUUU
Molecule: unclassified non-coding RNA, 258 nt
Filed under: Hevea brasiliensis (rubber tree)
Lineage: Eukaryota; Viridiplantae; Streptophyta; Magnoliopsida; Malpighiales; Euphorbiaceae
Source: RNAcentral